GCACGAUGGGAAAGAGAGAGUUGGGACCCGCAGGAGGGGGCAGGGCACUGACCCGGUGCCGCCCAGCAGGGCAGCGUCUCCUGGCUCAGACCAGUGCUAGAAGUGUCCAGUCUAGCAGCUCCUGGACCAAGACUCCGUGGCCAUUCCCUUCCUCCUGCCUUCCAUCCACCCCCUUACGAUACAGAAGUUGAGAUACAGAGAGGUGAAGGAACUUGUCCCAGGCCCUACAGCUAGUCCUGAGUUCUUGACCAGCAUCCGUGAAGAAUGAGGUUACACAGACAACUGGAAGGUGAGCAAGGCAGAGAACAGCUUUAUCGGCUGACCAAACAGCUCUCAGAGGAGAGGAGACCCAAAGUGGGUAGCUCCUAUCUGCAGGCAGGUAGUCCCAACGAGUCCAUGAAUCUGGCCGGGUCAGGAAAAAGCACCAUCUGAUUGGCCAAAAGGCAUCAAGGAAGUUCUCACUUUAGGUAGUGGACUCCACACAGAACUGGAGGCCUGGCUGUCAGGCUUCAGGUCAUCCCUGGCUUGAAGGUGGGGUUUCACCAAGGACCCACCCCUUCCCACCUAGGAACCUGUCUGCCUCCUGCCACCAUUAGUUUACCUAUGUGACCCGCAGGAUAUGCCAGAAAUGAUGGUAUGUCACUUCUAAAAUUCAAAUUAAAAAAAAAAAGACUACAGCUUCUGUCUUUAGUGUGUACUCUAUUUUUGGGGUCACUCACUCUGGGAGAAGCAAGCUGCCAUUUUGUCAACAGCCACUAUAGAGAGGCCCGCAUGGCAAGGAAAGGAAGCUUCCGGCCAAGAGCCCAUGAAGGCUGAGGCCUGCCAGCAACCACAUGAUUGAGUAUGGAAAUUGAUAAAAUUGCCCUAGUAAAAUCUUGGGAUAAUUACAGCCCUGGC
This 897-nucleotide long non-coding RNA is filed under the name Homo sapiens (human). RNAcentral's name for it is "HSALNT0401266". The record is from RNAcentral. Lineage: Eukaryota; Metazoa; Chordata; Mammalia; Primates; Hominidae.